UCGGGUAUGGUGUAGCGGUAACAUCGUUGACUCUCACUUCCUCAAGAAAUGAGCUCAGUCACUCAACAGCCCCGGGUUCGACUCCCGGUAUCCGAG
Non-coding RNA from Diplogelasinospora grovesii, 96 nucleotides. Lineage: Eukaryota; Fungi; Ascomycota; Sordariomycetes; Sordariales; Diplogelasinosporaceae. The record is from the annotation of a GenBank genome assembly.